UAUAGUGGCAUCAAAGCUAGGAUAAAAGAAGGUUGCAAUAGAUUGAUCGCUAACAUAAAAUUUUAUCUAAAUCCCAAAACACAAAGGAAGUAAAAGAAAAGGGACAUAUGUGGCAGAGCCAGCACCCGACGAGGGGGCGCGACCACGCGUGCUGGACUCCGUCGGACCUUUUAGUAUGCCGAGCACCAGUUGCUGAGGGGAGCGAUGGAAGUUGGAACAGUGGUCUGUGGAAGAAAGGGAAAAUCGAAGAAGAUGACUACAGCAAUUGGGCCUAAGUUUUUCUUUUUCUUUAAAAAAAGUUUUGCCAUUGUUUGGGCUCGCCUUUUUUUCUUUCAAUAAAAAAUAGGCCCAAUGGCUCCAAAUCCAAUCCAUGGUCUAUGAUAUAUAUGUAUUUCCUGCCACCAGUGUACCAAAUUACCAAUUAGGCAAUUACCAAACGAAUCGAAGCAGUGCAGACAAGGAGAAGCAAGACGCGCCGCUGCCGGUCAUUCUCCACCUUUCCUAGCUCGAUUUUCGAAGCUGGUCGUCCGCUACAGACUCGAACUCUUGGAUGGACCUCUUGUAGCUACUGGCUGUGACUUUGUGAAUUGUGGUGAGCACCUUUUUCCUUCUAUCG
Molecule: long non-coding RNA, 616 nt
Filed under: Olea europaea subsp. europaea
Lineage: Eukaryota; Viridiplantae; Streptophyta; Magnoliopsida; Lamiales; Oleaceae
Source: RNAcentral